Molecule: ribosomal RNA, 745 nt
Filed under: uncultured archaeon
Lineage: Archaea
Description: bacterial SSU rRNA
Rfam family: Archaeal small subunit ribosomal RNA
Source: RNAcentral
UCAGACCCGUGGCAAAUAGCUCAGUAGCACGUGGCCAAUCUACCCUCCGGAUCAGCACACCCUCGGGAAACUGAGGCCAAUUCUGUACACGGCUCCCGACCUGGAAUGGUGGGAGCCCGAAACGCUCCGGCGCCGGAGGAUGAGGCUGCGGCCGAUUAGGUUGACGGUGGGGUAAUGGCCCACCGUGCCGAUAAUCGGUCUGGGUCAUGAGAGUGAGAACCCAGAGACGGAAUCUGAGACAAGAUUCCGGGCCCUACGGGGCGCAGCAGGCGCGAAACCUUUACACUGCACGCCAGUGCGAUAAGGGGACCCCAAGUGCGCAGGCAUAGUGCCUGCGCUUUUCUGGACUGUAGGGCGGUCCAGGAACAAGGGCUGGGCAAGACCGGUGCCAGCCGCCGCGGUAAUACCGGCAGCCCAAGUGAUGGCCGCUGUUAUUGGGCCUAAAGCGUCCGUAGCUGGCCGCACAAGUCCGUCGGGAAAUCCGCCCGCUCAACGGGCGGCCGUCCGGCGGAACCUGUGUGGCUUGGGACCGGGAGGCCUGAGGGGUACGAUCGGGGUAGGAGUGAAAUCCUGUAAUCCCGCUCGGACCGCCGAUGGGGAAACCACCUCAGGAGAACGGAUCCGACAGUGAGGGACGAAAGCCAGGGUCUCGAACCGGAUUAGAUACCCGGGUAGUCCUGGCCGUAAACGAUGCUUGUUAGGUGUGACUCCCACUACGAGUGGGUGUUGUGCCGUAGGGAAGCCG